CCUACGUGAGGCAGCAGUGAGGAAUAUUGGUCAAUGGACGAGAGUCUGAACCAGCCAAGUAGCGUGAAGGAUGACUGCCCUAUGGGUUGUAAACUUCUUUUAUAUGGGAAUAAAAUGUUCCACGUGUGGGAUUUUGUAUGUACCAUAUGAAUAAGGAUCGGCUAACUACGUGCCAGCAGCCGCGGUAAUACGGAGGAGCCGAUCGUUAUCCGGGUUUAUUUGGUUUAAAGGGAGCGUAGGUGGAUGGUUAAGUCAGUUGUGAAAGUCUGCGGCUCAACCGUACAAUUGCAGUUGAAACUGGCAGUCUUGAGUACAGUAGAGGUGGGCGGAAUUCGUGGUGUAGCGGUGAAAUGCUUAGAUAUCACGAAGAACUCCGAUUGCGAAGGCAGUUCACUGGCAUGCAACUGACACUGAGGCUCGAAAGUGUGGGUAUCAAACAGGAGUAGAUACCCGUGUAGUC
Molecule: ribosomal RNA, 460 nt
Filed under: uncultured bacterium
Lineage: Bacteria
Description: partial 16S ribosomal RNA
Rfam family: Bacterial small subunit ribosomal RNA
Source: RNAcentral